CUAAGAAGGUAGGAGGGCAGAGUUCAGGACAAACACAAAAUAGAGAACGUAGGAGGCUGUAAGAACAAUAAUGGGAACUUCAGAGACAAAAAAUGAGUUGGGCAUGGUCAGGUCUUCUUUAUAUUCAAGGUUUUCACAAUACAAACCCC
Molecule: long non-coding RNA, 149 nt
Organism: Pipistrellus kuhlii (Kuhl's pipistrelle)
Lineage: Eukaryota; Metazoa; Chordata; Mammalia; Chiroptera; Vespertilionidae
Exons: 2
Source: RefSeq, a predicted model, not a curated record